CCUACGGGCGGCAGCAGUGAGGAAUAUUGGUCAAUGGACGAGAGUCUGAACCAGCCAAGUAGCGUGAAGGAUGACUGCCCUAUGGGUUGUAAACUUCUUUUAUAAAGGAACAAAACGCGGCACGUGUGCCUCUUUGCAUGUACUUUAUGAAUAAGGAUCGGCUAACUCCGUGCCAGCAGCCGCGGUAAUACGGAGGAUCCGAGCGUUAUCCGGAUUUAUUGGGUUUAAAGGGUGCGUAGGCGGUUUUCUAAGUUAGUGGUAAAACGUCGGGGCUUCACCUUGAUUUGCCAUUAAUACUGUAAGACUCGAGUGCGGACAGGGUAGGCGGAAUGAGUGAAGUAGCGGUGAAAUGCUUAGAUAUAACGUAGAACUCCGAUAGCGAAGGCAGCUUACCAGACUGCAACUGACGCUGAGGCUCGAAAGCGUGGGGAGCGAACAGGAUUAGAUACCCUGGUAGUC
Molecule: ribosomal RNA, 459 nt
Filed under: uncultured bacterium
Lineage: Bacteria
Description: partial 16S ribosomal RNA
Rfam family: Bacterial small subunit ribosomal RNA
Source: RNAcentral